RNAcentral lists this ribosomal RNA (500 nucleotides) under uncultured bacterium. RNAcentral describes it as "partial 16S ribosomal RNA". It matches the Rfam family "Bacterial small subunit ribosomal RNA", at positions 30 to 523 of the family's 1533-position model. The record is from RNAcentral.
AUUGAACGCUGGCGGCAUGCCUUACACAUGCAAGUCGAACGGCAGCACGGGAGCAAUCCUGGUGGCGAGUGGCGAACGGGUGAGUAAAGUAUCGGAACGUGCCCAGUCGUGGGGGAUAACGUAGCGAAAGUUACGCUAAUACCGCAUACGAUCUAUGGAUGAAAGCGGGGGAUCGCAAGACCUCGCGCGAUUGGAGCGGCCGAUAUCAGAUUAGGUAGUUGGUGGGGUAAAGGCUCACCAAGCCGACGAUCUGUAGCUGGUCUGAGAGGACGACCAGCCACACUGGGACUGAGACACGGCCCAGACUCCUACGGGAGGCAGCAGUGGGGAAUUUUGGACAAUGGGCGAAAGCCUGAUCCAGCCAUGCCGCGUGCAGGAUGAAGGCCUUCGGGUUGUAAACUGCCUUUGUACGGAACGAAAAGGUUUGGGCUAAUAAGCUGAGCUCAUGACGGUACCGUAAGAAUAAGCACCGGCUAACUACGUGCCAGCCGCCGCUGUAA